CAUACCCGUAUGCCAUUGAGCCCGUCUUCCAUCGUCAGAGUGAGCCUGUCUUCCUGGAGGAUGUCUUGGACGAGGCUCUGAGAAUGUUAUUAAGAAUCAAGGGUCCCUCAAGAGGCAUUUGUGAAGUAUUCCCUUGGUUCCAUAAUUUGGACGGCGUAAUUGGUGGCCACCUGGAUGUGCUCUGCCUCCUACGACUGAUUUGUUCAUCAUCGUCUCGACUUUGAUUCACCUUAGUGGAUGAUUUGUGGAGAAAAGUCACGUUCUCCUAAGCAUUGACUUCAAUCCCUUCUUGCUCGGAUGGACUACGGAUAGGAUUAUCCAGCCUUGAUUUGGUUGUCAUACUUGGUUUUUCUUGUCUUGACCUACUUACAGUAAGGUAUGGAGGAGAAGCUGAUUAUUGAAGAGGAAGAGCCCUGUGUCAUGCACUUGACACAUUUGCAAUAAAUAAUAAAUUUAAACAUUUCAAAGGUGUAUGAAUUGACUUCCCUUCAGUAUUUUUAAGUACCUUAUAAGGUGACUUCAUAGUUUUUCA
Long non-coding RNA from Macrobrachium nipponense, 532 nucleotides. RefSeq lists it as uncharacterized. NCBI's taxonomy places the organism in Eukaryota, Metazoa, Arthropoda, Malacostraca, Decapoda, Palaemonidae. The record is from RefSeq and is a predicted model, not a curated record. The transcript has 3 exons.